ACGCCCUUUGGAGUGCUAAGAAUUCCUGAGAAUUGGGACUGAGUCUAAUUCAAAUCGUUUUGUGGUCUUAAAUGAGUGACUUACACCUCCUGAAUCUCAGUGUUUUUAUUUGUCACAUGAACAAAUGAAUCACUUUUAAGAAUCCUUAAAGCUUCCCCAGAGUCCAUGCAUUUAUAAAUUCUAUCAAUGCUGGUGUUAAAUAUGCUGCUACUCUCCCCCGUUACUCUGUGGGAAUAUAAUUCUACAAAUCGUUGGCCUUAGACAAAUUGUUUAACCUCUCUCCGUGCCUUCGUCUGAAUCAUUAACUGUAAAAUAGGGUUGUUAGAAAUAAUACCUUCCCUUUUUUUUUCCUACAGGUGACUGUAUGUAUCCAUAUGGAACUUGGGAAAGAAAGCAUUCCAAGCAAGGUGUUGCUCUUCCUUUAACACUUCAUUGCAUCAGGCCAUUUUCUCCACCUCUCCAAUAUCGACGCUCAGUGCUUAUCUUCCUGAGCUCUUUUCUUCAAAUUUCUUGACAUUCCUCAGGGCCCAGCGUCUCUCUUGACUCUUUUGCAGAAUAAUGUCUUCUUGGUCAUCCAUGUGUUGGGCUGGUCAGAUCAGAAACAGUCCAGUUUCUUCAACAAUAUUUGCCUUGAGAUGGAAUUUCUAAAAAUGCUCUUUCACCCAAGGGGUCCAGUUUAGCUGGAUGUACCCUGAAUCCUUUAUGAAAUAAGGUAGAGAGUUAGGCAACACCAGUGGCCCCAACUGCUGCGCCAGGCACUUGUAGGGGAAGUAUCUUCAGCACAAACCCUGCUUGUAAGGAGCUGGCAGGCCAGCAGAAUGGUGAGACCCAUUAGGACAGAGAAGCCUUGCCGCAAGAGAGAAAGAAGUCUCCAUACGCAGACAGAGUAGAAGAAACAAGGAGGAUCUAAAAUAAGAUGACUCGAUUUCUAGCUGGAGGGAAGUGGGGGUUUCUUCUAGCUCUAGUCUUUGUUGCAAGAUCUUCUGGGACUGAAGCUCUGAUCACCUUACUGUUCUGGUGGGAAACCAUCAAUGGCUUCCUGUUACCUGCAGAAUGAAGUAGAGAUGCCUUGAUGUUGCAUUCAAGCACCCUCAGAAGUGACCCUAUGAUGCCUUUCUAGGAAGACCUCACAGCCUCUCCCUCCUUCAGUUUCGACUUCAACUUGAUGGCCUCAUCAUCUCUUUUCUGAACAUUGGUUUUUCCCUUCCUGUCCUCUUCCCAGAAACUAGCAGUGGGGUGGCCCCUGAGGAUGAGACCCCUUGCCCCACUGUGUCAUGUUAGCAGAAGAAGUGAUGUGAUGCUGGGUCCACAUAGCCCCCCUCAGGAGAAUCAGAGGUUAAAGAUGAAGAUGG
Long non-coding RNA from Sapajus apella (tufted capuchin), 1352 nucleotides. RefSeq lists it as uncharacterized. NCBI's taxonomy places the organism in Eukaryota, Metazoa, Chordata, Mammalia, Primates, Cebidae. The transcript is spliced from 3 exons. The record is from RefSeq and is a predicted model, not a curated record.